RNAcentral lists this long non-coding RNA (316 nucleotides) under Mus musculus (house mouse). RNAcentral's name for it is "long non-coding RNA chr3:95241272-95241588". The record is from RNAcentral. Lineage: Eukaryota; Metazoa; Chordata; Mammalia; Rodentia; Muridae.
AAAUCUCUCAUCACAGUUUAUUAAAGGUCACAGGUCUGAAUUUACUGAGAGUGAAAACACAGGUUUUGACAGCAGUUCUCAGGAUCACAGGCAGCUGACUACUAAGAAGGGGUUGGCUUUUCAAGAUUUUGCAAGCUGGCUCCUGGGCUCCCGGCAGACAGGCUGGCUGUGGCUGCUGGUUAAGCCUUCCAUCCACCUCCCCUCAAAGACUGCUAAGACAACUAAACUGGGAAGGAUCCCAGUAGUUUUGAUUACAGAGAAGGAAAAUGAGACCCACAUAUUUUACAGCUAAAGCAGAAUUAAAACUCAGAGCCUU